AGUGAACACUGGCGGUAGGCCUAACACAUGCCAGUCGAACGGCAGCACAGUAAGAGCUUGCUCUUACGGGUGGCGAGUGGCGGACGGGUGAGGAAUACAUCGGAAUCUACUUUUUCGUGGGGGAUAACGUAGGGAAACUUACGCUAAUACCGCAUACGACCUACGGGUGAAAGCAGGGGAUCUUCGGACCUUGCGCGAUUGAAUGAGCCGAUGUCAGAUUAGCUAGUUGUCGGGGUAAAGGCCCACCAAGGCGACGAUCCGUAGCUGGUCUGAGAGGAUGAUCAGCCACACUGGAACUGAGACACGGUCCAGACUCCUACGGGAGGCAGCAGUGGGGAAUAUUGGACAAUGGGCGCAAGCCUGAUCCAGCCAUACCGCGUGGGUGAAGAAGGCCUUCGGGUUGUAAAGCCCUUUUGUUGGGAAAGAAAAGCAGCAGGUUAAUACCCCGCUGUUCUGACGGUACCCAAAGAAUAAGCACCGGCUAACUUCGUG
Molecule: ribosomal RNA, 492 nt
Filed under: uncultured bacterium
Lineage: Bacteria
Description: partial 16S ribosomal RNA
Rfam family: Bacterial small subunit ribosomal RNA
Source: RNAcentral